This is a non-coding RNA of Pelobates cultripes (western spadefoot toad), 4821 nucleotides long. The record is from the annotation of a GenBank genome assembly. NCBI's taxonomy places the organism in Eukaryota, Metazoa, Chordata, Amphibia, Anura, Pelobatidae.
UUUUUUAUAAUUUUACAUUUAUUUUUUUUAUUUAUUUUUUCUUUUGCUAUAUAUAUUUUUUUCACCAUUUAUUUCACAUUCUAAUUUUAUUUUUUAUAAUUUCCCUCCCCCCUUUUUUCACCCUUGUUUUUUUAUUUAUUUUACGGAAAUCAAAACUUUAUUGAGCAAGAAAUUAUGGUAGAAAACACGUCAAAGUACGUCAAUGAGAGUGAGACUCGCAGGUCUCGGAGCCAAAUAUCAGUACUCUGGCCAUGCAAGGCCCAACAUUUAUUGUACAAAUGUAUUGUACAGAUGCAUUAGUGUGAUUAAGUAUUCAUAAAUGGGUAUGAGCAGUUUGGGUGGGGAGGGUGGAAGGAAGAGGUGUAUCCAUAACGACACAGGGAACAUGGAUACCCCCAGAGGUUCUAGCCGCUUUCAGAAAGCAUGCCAUGAGCUGUUAUAUAUCCCUAUAUAUCCCUAUAUUUAAAAAUAUGAAAUCAUAUUCUCAUCAAUAUGAAAUCAUAUCUGCAAAAGAGGCUAUGUCACAUUAGGAGACAAAAAAUUGAUAUAAGUAUCAUGUAUAAAACAACAUAAUACAGAUUAAAUGGAAAUAGCAUGUUGAUGAGUGAACUAAGAACUCAAUUUGUUAUUUAAACUAAUAUAAAUGUGAAUUGUCAAUCACCAUGUUUCUUCUUUAAUGUCAAACUGGAGCCAAUGAUUAACUAAGCUGAAAACUAUGGACGCUAUUGUAUUACCCCGGGUGAUUACCAGAGGGCGAUCAAAUUAAAUACCAAGUAGAUCGCAAUGGAACUCAUGGCCAUAUUGGAUGGUCUAAGUGGUGGAACGCGUGGAAGUGCCUCAUCACGAGUAGGUGUCAGUUUUACUGCCAAUUAAAGUCAAACAGCUGAGAAAAGGAGAACACACAGAAGGAGAGGUUUGCUAAUCUGUCAAGUAUCCAAUCAUAGGACAACAUGGGAAGAACACCCACCACACUACCAAUGGACUUCCAGGACUGACCAUAUUUAAAGGUACGCCGGGGAGGGAGGGAUUAGGCUUGAUUGUGUAUAUUUGAUUUUACUGCAUUUGUUACAAUACUGGUCCCUGAGAAAGUUCGAUAUAGAGAACGAAAUGCAUAGGACCAAUUUGUUAACUACUUUUUAAAAUAAUUUUACACCAAUAAAUAUUUUAUACUUCCAUACCAUUUGGAAUUUGUGAUCUUCCUGGUACCCAGAUUUGACUUAACGCUGGCAGUGGGAGCAUAACCAUAGGGGAGGCACCCUGAGGGUUUGCUUAAAUCAACAAAUCUGUGAGUGAAACCAAUAAGUGUCUUGUGAUUGAGAGGCUAUAACACUAUGUUUUGUUUUAUUUAUUUGUUUCAGUGAUACCGGCUUGAUCCCCAUUUGUUUGUAUUUUUUACUAUGUGGUAUUAAGAUCAGAGUUCUCAGUGUCUAUGUGGGUUUCAGUCGGUCAUACUCCAUGUAUGGUUAAUAGUCUGCUGUGGAGUGUGAGUAGUGAUUCAUUCUUCUUGUCACUGCCUCAUAGUGUUAUCCUCCCCUGCUAAACGUAUGAAGAAUAGGAAGGAGGACAGAACAUAUGCUGGAUAGAUCAAGUAAUAGAAGCAUGGUUGGGUAGGUAAGAAGUGGACUGUGCGGCUCACCAGGCUACUCUCAAGAGUGGCUUUGAUGUUUCGAUAGCUGUUGAGAUUUCCUCUUCUGUUAUUGGUAGAUCAGGUGCUUCUGCGUCUUUAAGUUGAAGAGUUGAAGUGAUGUAGUCUGAAAGGAACCGUGUUGUCUGUUGCUCCCAAUCACUCUCAGGACUGUUUCCUCUGGGUUGUGCGAUAUUAUAUAGAGAGGAGUAGUAGGUUUGAGAAGUACAAAGAAAAGUAUCUCUUUAUCAUAACCAUUUAAAUGCCAAUACUGCCAUUUGGGCUAUUUCACAUAUUUAUUUGAUUAUAUAUGUUUUUCACGUAUCCAAUUAAGUUGUAAAUUGAACCCUUUAUCACACACAGGAGGCUCCUGCAGGGUCUAACAAGCUAUUAAUAGAGCAAGAGAUAAGAAAUUCUCAGUUAUUCAGAAUUUGCAAUAAAGGAAGUGUCAACAUUAGAUGUCUCUUUAUAGGAAGUGUUUAGGAAGGAUGUGGGCCUAGGGCAGCAUAAACAAAGUGAUUUAACUUCUAAAUGGCAAAGAAUUAAGCAGUGAGAUUAUAGGGGCAUGACCUAUACACCAAAACUGCUUCCUUAAGAUAAAUUUCAACUGUGAAGAAUCUAAUAGCUUAAAUAUAACAGACCUAUUACAAUGGAAAAUAUCCAAUUCACAAAAAUGUUUGGAUUUGAAGAGACAAGUAUGAAAAUAAUCCCUUUAAUGAUUUUAUGAUACAUUUAAAAACAGUAUACCUAUCUUAUACACAGAUAUGUGCUUGUAAACAAUCCUCUAAACUAGAGGUUCCUAAUUAAUUUUUUCUGUGGAGCCCUUCGACAUCGUAUCAAAGUAUCAACAUCGUGGAAACCUCGCCCUCCGGUAAAAAAUAAAAUGUACGCCGCUCUUUGUAUGUGCCGGUGUAUGUCUGUGUGUCAAGGUGUGUGUAUAUGUGUUUGCAUUUUCCAGUGUGUGUGUGUGUAUCUGUGACACACAGAUACACACAUAGUGGCACACAGAUACACACACCUUGACACACACUCAACAUAUGAGGAAAGGGAUUUAGGGGUGAUUAUUUCUGAUGACUUAAAGGUAGGCAGACAAUGUAAUAGAGCAGCAGGAAAUGCUAGCAGAAUGCUUGGUUGUAUAGGGAGAGGUAUUAGCAGUAGAAAGAGGGAAGUGCUCAUGCCAUUGUACAGAACACUGGUGAGACCUCACUUGGAGUAUUGUACACAGUACUGGAGACCGUAUCUUCAGAAGGCUAUUGAUACCUUAGAGAGGGUUCAGAGAAGGGCUACUAAACUGGUUCAUGGAUUGUGGGAUAAAACUUACCAGGAAAGGUUAAAGGAUCUUGGAGGAAAGACGAGACAGGGGGGAUAUGAUAGAAACAUUUAAAUAUAUAAAGGGAAUCAACACAGUAAAGGAGGAGACUAUAUUUAAAAGAAGAAAAACUACCACAACAAGAGGAGUUUUUCUUCUUUUAAAUAUACUAUGGUCUUACAUUAGAGGGACAAAGGUUUAAAAAUAAUAUCAGGAAGUAUUACUUUACUGAGAGGCUAGUGGAUGCAUGGAAUAGCCUUCCAGCUGAAGUGGUAGAGGUUAACACAGUAAAGGAGUUUAAGCAUGCGUGGGAUAGGCAUAAGGCUAUCCUAACUAUAAGAUAAGGCUAGGGACUAAUGAAAGUAUUUAGAAAAUUGGGCAGUCUAGAUGGGCCGAAUGGUUCUUAUCUGCUGUCACAUUCUAUGUUUCUAUGUUUGACACACACUGUGUGUGUGUGUGUGUGUGUGUGUGUGUAUGUAUCUGACACACAGAUACACAAACACACACUGGCGCAUAGUGGCACACAGAUACACACUGACACAUACCUUGACACACAGAUACACAUACACACACUCAGAUGCACACAGUGAAACAUACACACAUCUUGACUUACAAAUACACACACUCAGAUACACACAGUGACAUAUACACACACUUGCACCCACCGAUACACACACUGGCACAUACACACUCAGAUACACACAUUGACACAUAAACACAGUGUCAUAUGCACACACACUGACACACACUCAGAUACACACACUGACAUACACACAGGCACCUAAAAAACACACUGAUAUACACUGGCACACACACACACACUCAGAUACACACAGUGACACAUACACAAACCUUGACACACGGAUACACACACUGACACACAUACACUCUCACUGACAAACACACAUACUCUUUGACAGACACACAUAUAAACACACAUACAUUCUCACUGACAAGCACACAUACAUUCUCACUGACAAGCACACAUACACUCUCUUUGACAGACACACAAACACAUACAAACUCCCUAACAGACACACAUACAAUUUUUUUUUUUUUAUUUUACUCCGCCCAGCCUCCAUACCUUUGGGAGUGCUGGCACGGAGUCUCUAUGUCCCUCUGGUCCAGUGGGGCUGCUGAGCGGCUGGCAUGCGUGCGGUGAGGGAGCAGUGAUCUUCCUGUUCAGUUCCCUCGCGCACCUCUUAGUGAUGCCAGAGUGAUGUCAUAUGCCGGCUCCGGCAUCAUUGCUGUGCGCGCAAGGGAGCUGAGAAGGGGAGAGUGCUUUCUCGCCACCCACGGCCAUAUUGUUUCCCAAAAUUUUGGCGAAACCCCAUUUGUGUUCUUGCGGUACCCCAGGGUUCCGCGGGAACACCAAUUAGGAAACGAUCUUCUAAACCAAUGUACUUAAGAACAUGUGUUUAAAGUUUUUUGCCUUUUGAUUUUCUAUGAAUUUUGAGACCUAUAGGACAUUAUAGUCCAUUUUCAGUGGAGAUCGGCACUUUGGGAAUGAGCAAUAUGGCAGCCGAGAGCGAACUAUGGGUGGAACGCAAAAUGGCCAUCAUUUGAAGCUCAUGCAUCAUCGGCAAGCGCCCAUUGAUCGUGGCUUGCCGAAAGUGAUGACAUGAAAGACCAUAGACCGUGACUGGGAAAUUUGUUUAAGAAAGAUGCCUUACAGCUGCAAAGGAGACUUAACGAUAUUCCAUCAUAGGGAGGGAUUUUCUUUCAUAAGCUGCCGUGCUGCCACAAAGGUGACAUAUUUGGGCAUGUUACUUCAAAAAACCCAAGCAAUCCUGUACAUGAAGUGCAUUGUUGUUCUCGUGGGACACCGCAGGUUUUAUUGCAGUAAAAUAUGUAUUGUAAUAAUCACAAUUAAAAAUGCCAAUAGUGA